UCGAAACUCCACCCGCCGGUCAGUCCAGUCCAUUCAAAGGCGAAAAAUCACCGUCAGCGACCUCUUUUCAGCCUUAGCCGCUGCCGGUGAUUCAGCCAACUGCUCCGCGCCUUUUAUCCGUUGGUUUACGCGCAAUUUGAUGUUAUCCAUCUAAUUAAUACACAUCCGUGCUGUGCGUCUCUGCUUUUCCGCCGUCAGACCAACCAGAAACUGCUAAGUCCAAGAAAAGUGAGAGCAGCGAUAAGACAGUAUCCCGGGGUAAUGAAUCUGUUCCGUGUUUGUUUGUUGAAUAACAUUUGCUAGAACUUGUGUUGAAUACUGGAAUUUGCUGUGUUUUUGGGUGUAGUUAUCUUAUUCGGUAAGGCGUUAGGCAAUGUUAUCAGACAGUUAUGUUUCCGUUCGUGAUGUUCUCUUGGAUAUGUGUAUAUAUAUAUAUCUAUUAUGAGUUUCCUUGGACAUAUGACAUGGUCAAGGUGUUGCUUGUGAUUGUUAAAUUGUAAUUAUCUCAUAUGAUAUGGUUAAGUUUUCAUUUGGUAAGGCGUUAUGCAAUUUUAUCAGACAGAGUUAUGUUUUCGUUCGUGAUGUUCUCUUGGAUAUAUAUAUGUAAUGAGUUUCAUCGGACAUGUGAUUUGGUAAAGGUGUUGCUUGUGAUUGUUAAAUUGUAAUUAUAUCAUAUGAUAUUAUGGUUUAAUUUUCAUUUGGUAAGGCGUUAGGCAACAUUAUCAGACAGAGUUAUGUUUUCGUUCGUGAUGUUCUCUUGGAUAUAUAUAUGUAUAUAUGUAUGUAUGUAUGUAUGUAUGAGUUUCCAUUGGAUAUAUGGCAUGGUUAGGGUGUUGCUUGUGAUUGUUAAAUUGAUAUUAGCCCUACUUUUUUUUUCUUUUCAUUUUUGCCAUUGCACCUGAAUGUUUGCUGUGUGUGUCAGUCUUGCAUCUUUAUCAAUGAGGAUAAGAAGGAUGAACAACGAACCCGGCUACUGAAGGUUUUCAUCCUAAAUAAGCGAGUCUAUCCAGAAUGAUUGAUCACCUAAACGUAUAUCUGAGUUUGUUUUAUUUUGUUAAUUUCAUCCACGACAUAGCUUGAGAUUCAUAGUAGAUCCUGUCUCCUUGUUAUAGUUGGGGGAAAUAUCAUAGGUUUUUUAAUUCUGCAAUAGUUUAUGAUAAACUAGCUUGAGAGUCUGUUGAUUAUGCAAAAGUGUAACUGAAAAUCAAACGAUAUGCAAAUCUAGGGUAUCAGAUUCAUAGAACGGAAGGGGUAUGCCUUAUCGAAACGUAUUAUAGGAUUGAGAACCCAUUGUCACUCAUGCUGAUAAAAAGCAUGUUAUUAGCUUGGAAAAUAGUACAUGUAACAUAUGGGAUAUUAUGACUGCGCUAAUGAUGUAGGAAAAUCAACUUUCUCGUCAUGUCUAUAGCUGGCGUUGGAGGAUUAGGUAAGACCAUGCUGCAAGCAAGGAAGUGAUUUAAUACAAAGUAAACACUGGUUAAUGAAAAAACAAAAACUAGCAGAACCAGUGUAUUGCUCUUUGAUUUUGUACAUAUAUAGACGACAUUAGAUUCUUAAGUAAAACUACUUAUAAAUGAAAGGAAAAUGAUCCCUAGCUUAUAUGUCCUAGUAAGUGAAAGAAUUAUGAUUUCUGUAAGACCUCCCUAGUACAAGAAAAAUGUGUAAUCACAUUAAAAUUUCUCUCUCCAUCUACAGGAUAGCCUAUGCUCUCUUCUUCUCUGUUUCUUUUUCUGUGAAAGUAAUCAACCUGUACAAAGUCGUUUCUUGCAUGCUUGCACACUUAUCUUCCAUUAGUUAUUUAUCUUAAAAAAGUGUUUAUUAUCUAGACUGAACAGGGACUGGCUGCUCUUUGCCGAUCCCAAUAGCUCUUCCAGAUUCCAAAACAUUUGUUGUCAUGGAAUGCGGAAAUAUCUGAAUUCUGAAGUUCUUGGUCAUGAAGAGCUUGUGUUGUCCAAAGCAGCACCAAAGCCACCAUGACAAUUGAGAGGUACAGCAUUGCUGCCCAUGUCAUGUUGAGGUAUCUUCUCAGUGGUUUGCAAUGAUUUGUUAGUAUAUCAGAAAAUGCGUUCUGCACUAAUUGACACUUUACAAGAUUUUCCAUAUUUGGAAAAAUGUUUAGUAGGUUUUGAACUGAAGUUGUGUAAGCCUCCACUAUUUUAUAAUCGCUGGCUGAUAUGAACUCUCCAUCUUUACAUGUUCCUUUGUCGGCACCAGAACAUGCAAAUAUCUUCAAUAUCUGUAUAAACAAAUUGGAUGAAUGAACCAACAACUGCAUAGAUUCGGAGAUUUUGAUUAAAAGAAACUUGGAUGCAAUAUUAUAACUGCUAUGAGCAAAAUUUCUGGCAUUUCAACAUUUCUUUUGGCCGAC
This 2368-nucleotide long non-coding RNA is filed under the name Carica papaya (papaya). Its description in RNAcentral is "long non-coding RNA (CPAP_LNC012087)". Lineage: Eukaryota; Viridiplantae; Streptophyta; Magnoliopsida; Brassicales; Caricaceae. The record is from RNAcentral.